RNAcentral lists this ribosomal RNA (123 nucleotides) under uncultured soil bacterium. RNAcentral describes it as "partial 16S rRNA". It matches the Rfam family "Bacterial small subunit ribosomal RNA", at positions 335 to 457 of the family's 1533-position model. The record is from RNAcentral.
ACUCNUANGGGAGGCAGCAGUGGGGAAUAUUGCACAAUGGGCGCAAGCCUGAUGCAGCGACGCCGCGUGAGGGAUGACGGCCUUCGGGUUGUAAACCUCUUUCAGUACCGACGAAGCGCAAGG